Molecule: long non-coding RNA, 1107 nt
Filed under: Oryctolagus cuniculus (rabbit)
Lineage: Eukaryota; Metazoa; Chordata; Mammalia; Lagomorpha; Leporidae
Description: lncRNA (ENSOCUG00000034588.1)
Source: RNAcentral
AUGACCUCUUAAAGGUCUUACCUCUCAAUAGCUAGAUUAGUGAUUAAAUUUCCAACACUUGAACUUUGUGGGGACAUAUUUACCUUAUAGCAAGUGGAAACUAGAUAAAAUGAAGUUAGAGGUAUAUAGCCUCACUUAGAGUGAGCAACAUAUUCAGGCACUCGAAAUGAAGAGGAUAUCCAAAACCAAAUGUGAGAAGGUGCUGAAGUCCAGACAGCUCACUGACGCAUGCAAACCUGGCUGUAGGCUAGAGUUGCUAACAUGACAUCAGGGAAAUCUAGGGCUCCAAGCCUCAUGAACAAGAGGAGACCUAGCUGUGUCAAGUGGGGAGUGAAGAAGGGCUGCCCCACUGUGAAAUGGGGUCUAGGAAACCUUGCUACCGGCUACAUGAGAAUUUGACAUCUACUAUGGACUGUGGGAAGGAAAAAUGUUGCUAAAUAUAUUGGAACCCUAGGCUAUGUCACAAAUGAUGAUGGGGUCUCAGUUUACACUAGCUUUCGACUGAUUAGCUGAGAAGUGGCCUUUAAAAUGGUCCAGUUCUUAAAGAAUCAAAGUGAUCUUGUAAAAGGAAUCUUGAAAUAUUCAGUAGAGUUGCUUCUGUAACUCAGAGAACACAAACAAGACUUUAUUGGAAAAUUCAGUAUUAGCAAUCAUGUAAAGAACUGCACAAAUGAGAAGAUGUGUGCUUCCAGAGGUAUAAAUAUUAGAAAUGAUGCAAUCAGGGACUUGAAAACACACUUUGAAAGUGUUUAUAAAUGAGACAGAAUUUUAAUUUAAAGAUUUAUUUAUCUAUUUAUUUAUUUAUUAUUUAUUUGAAAGAGUUCGAGGCGGCAUCGACCCCAUGGGUGAAUGACCCCACCAGGCCUCCCCGCCGAGGGUCUCUGCACCUCUCAGUACUGUGUCCUGAGAGACCGAGCUCCCAGAACGUGAGCCUUUGUGGUGCAAAGCCUAGCGCGCAAAGUUCUAGGUUCUGCUGCGGAGGAUCGCUUGGGAGCAGGGCAGAGGCUGCCCGGCCCCCUCCCCUUUACCUGAUGCCUGCGGCUCCCUCCCGGGCCCGGCACAGCGUUUGAGAAAGAGGCUUGAGUCCAGCAUGCCCACGCCACAAGG